GUACGAUGAGGAAAGACUCAAGGCCAGAAGAGAGAGAAUGAACACAAGCCUGAUAUUCAGCACUGGCGCAUAAAUGCACCUGUGCUAACCUACCGACUCGGUUUUCAUUGGAGGCGUAAUCAUUAGGAACACUCACAGGAUUUCAGGACUAUUCCAGCCCUUCCCAGUUGUGGAGUUCUUAUACCACCUGCUGGAUACUUUGCAGUUCCCAUGAGAGCUGGGCAGGGCGAGGAUUCCUACCAACAUCUUACAUCCUGGGAAUUUGAGGCUCAGAGAAGGCAAGGCACCUGCCCAAGGCCACACAGCAAGUCCAUAAAAGAUCUAGGAUUCCUGGGAUUUCCCCUGCCACCUAUCCUCUCCUUCCUUCUACUUUUCCUCUCUCCUUCUGUCUUCUGUCUUUUUUAAAAAUUGUGAUUAAAAUUUACCAUCUAAA
Cynocephalus volans (Philippine flying lemur) is the source of this 433-nucleotide long non-coding RNA. RefSeq lists it as uncharacterized. The record is from RefSeq and is a predicted model, not a curated record. NCBI's taxonomy places the organism in Eukaryota, Metazoa, Chordata, Mammalia, Dermoptera, Cynocephalidae. The transcript has 2 exons.